AAAAAAGAUAUCUGUUGUAAGGAAUGAACAUAUAAUAACAAAAAAGAAGACUUAUUUUGGCAAACUUUGGAAAUCUGGCUUUGUAAUCCACUAGAACAAGCCUUGUUGGGGAAAGGAGCAGGGCCUGGAACUGACAGAAUCAGCAGUCGAGUAGAGAAUAAAGAAAAGGCAGGAGCUGAAGCUCUGACUGAAUAUGAUUCUGAACUGGACAUGCUUGUAGUACUGACUGGCUGAAUAUACUGCUACUGAGAUAAGUGAAUCUGAUUUGCUCACAUUUUUGGCAAGUAACUCUGUGAACAAAGGUUAUGGGUGAGUAAGCAAGAAAAGGCAGAAAUGAAUUCCCAUCUAAGCCAAAUAAUAUAGUACCAUUCACAAGUCUUUUUUAAUAGGGGUGGUGCUAGGCUGGGUGUAUCCUCAGCAUGACACAACUUGCUCAGUUACACACUGACUAUGAAUCAGCUAAAAUGAUAAAGUGACAAAGUUUAUACUAGAUGCUGAGAUUCUGCAGUCAACAGUACAGUACGCAGAUUAUUCACUGUGGCUCAAAAAGAAAGGCAGACGACAAGAAUAACAGUGAGUAGUGCACCCUUUUGCAUCAGCUUCGGAAAAGCGAUGAUAAGUGACAUAACAGACACUCAGAAAGUGUAUGAGAAAUGAAUCAGCUAAUUCAAAAUAUUUUGGGAAGUAGUCCAUUUGCCCUGUCCAGUAUUCUAAACCCUAGUGAUGUACACCUAUACAUCUAUGUACAUUCACAUUCAUAUUGGAUCUCCCCUUAGCUGCCAUUCUGAAUGAGCUAUUUGAGUCCAUUUGAGAAUAUUUUAAAUUUGUAAAUCUCUCACUUAGCUUCCAUGAGCCUCUGAAUAAAGGUAAUCCAGUCUCCUGGGUCAGGUUGUCGCAUGCACAUGCACUCAGAGUGGAAAAUGACAGUAUUUUCUUUGCCAUUAUAGAGAACCUAAAGGAAAUACAAAGCUACAUGUUUAAUGUCAGUAAAUUAAAUCCAGUGUUUGAGAAAUGGGAAUGUUGCAGAAACAUAAGUAACAUUACAGAGUGUUAUUAAAGGCUUCAGUUUUUUAUGUCAUAAUUUUCUAUCAUUUCAAAUUUCCUUCAUUCAUCUCCAGUAAGCACUUUACUGCAAUAUUUUUUGGCUUAUGCAAAAUACCUAAAACUGUAAUAGGCUAAUGUACAGCUUGUGUAAAACACUGCAACUAAGGCUUUAACAAACGCUCUUAUUGCUUCCACCAUCUAAUUGCUAGUUAAUGCUCUUCAAGACCUUUCAAUAUGGGUACAUUACACUUCUACUACAAGUUAAAAAAUACACCAAAAUCAGCAUUUAUUACAUGUAUAAAACUAUUCAUAAUUUGGUGUUUGCUUGCGUGACAUAAAAGUCUUGCUUGACCUGUGGUUGUGGUCGAAUAAACCCUCUUGCAUGUUAACAGUAAGAGUUGUAAAAGAAGAGAUCAUGUGCUUCUCCAAUGUAAAGUCUUUUCUCUCCCACACCAGAUGUAAAAUGGUUUAAUGCCUUGAAUUUUGCCAUCCAUUAUUUACUCUGAGUAUCACCCCUACUACUACUGCCUGUUCAACAUUUGUACAACAGUCUUAGCGUGUUAAUGAAUACACAUCUAGAUGUGUACUUUGAGUUUGUUUGCCUAGUGUCUCGAAAUGGACCUUUACAUAUGGAUUUACUACAGGAGAUUGCUUUAAUACUACACAGCCCAGCUUCACCUAAUCUUUCAUUAAAUGUUUGUCAAAAUGUCUAUAUUAUUCAUCAAUCUUGGUUUAAUGGAAUAUUUUAGCGUAUCAGAUAUCUGCAGUAUCAAACUUAUCAUUUAUCAAGCUCAAACUCUUUUCUAACGAAAAGUCAUACCUAAAGCCUCUGACCCGGAGUUAACAGACACCGUUAACUAAUUAGUUAACGUUAUUAGUUAGUUCGAAUUAAUUCGAUGAAAAUUCAACCCUCAUUCGACAGCAGGCUUUUAACGUGACAGUUUAAGCCCCACCCUGACACACAGCUGAUUGGUCAGUGUGCUCUUCACAUGGCUCAUCUGGAUCAUCAAACAUCUGCAAUCUGUAUUUUUCUGAGUAAAUAAUCUGAUGUGGAUGCCAAGAAUAAAAGUGUUUAAAGUGGUCUUGUUCCAGUCACUCCAUCAUCUAGAUAUUUAACAACUCAUUCUAAGAACAGUGAAUUAUUCAACCAAAAGAUUUAUUUAAAUCAAUAUGGUAAAGAAAGAAAGAAAAACAAUACAAUACAUGUGGGCUAGGUUGCCAAUGAAUAAAUUUAAUUACAAAUUUUAAUCCAGACGUGAUGCUCUAAAUCUCUGUGCGGAACUGUAGAGACGUGUUCUGCAUCCUCUGCUUGUAGUGUUCAUCAAACUGUUCAUUCUGAGCCACGGUGAAGUGAUUCUUCCAGUCACCGACUUUACCUGAAGAAACAAGCAGAAGGGAAAAAAGAGAAGCAAUAAAUCAGACAGAACUAAAAUGGGUUCACCUGGUUUUAUUAAUAAUCUUUUUUUAGAAAUAUAUUGACAAUGACAAUAUCAACCAAACACAGAAGCUCAUGUUUUCCCCCAGAUGAACAGAAAAAGGGCAUCUUUGCAGUAUAAGGAACAACUUAAUACAUAAAUGUUGGGUAAGGGACACUGACUGAGACUGACACAAGGUGAGUGGAGCCUUGACAGUGACCGUGAGUGGAGCACUGAGUGAAUGUGAAUCAGGACAGAAUAGGCUUGUAAAGCCACCUAGCUGUGUGUUGGUACUGAGAUAAGCAAUUUUUUUGAGAAGUGAGUCUGUGUCCAAAGGAUAAAGAUGAGUAGAAUGAAUUUCAUUCCCACUUAAGCCAUAUGAUGUAUUAACAAUUAAAGUCUUUUUAACAGGUGUGUGUGUGUGCUGUUGAGCUCUGUGUGUCGUCAGCUACAGUACAAUAAAGCUAAAUGACUCAGCUUAAAUGAUUGAAUGAGUGUGUGAAAUGGAUAUUGAGAUAGAAUUCUGCAAUCAGUCAUUAACACUAUUUUGACUCAGAUUGCAUUUUACCAGAGAAAUAUACUGCUCAAAAAAAAAAUAAAGAAACACUUUGAAAACACAUCAGUUCUCAAUGGGGAAAAAUAUCAUGCUGGAUAUCUAUACUGAUAUGGACUGGGUAAUGUUUUUUAGGAAUGAAAGGAUGCCACAUCGUUUGAUGGAAAUAAAAAUGAUCAAGAAACCCCAAAAAUCAAAGUGAAAAAAUGAUGCAUACAUUACAGUCCAUUUUGCUGAAAUUUCACAAUGUCGGGGCAUGCUCCUAAUGAGAUGGCGGAUGGUGUCCUCUGGUAUUUUCUCCCAGAUCUGGAACAGGUAAUCACUGAGCUCCUGGACAGUCUGAGGUGCCACCUGGCAGCGUCGGAUGGACCAAAACAUAAUUCCCCAGAGGUGUUCUAUUGGAUUUAGCUCAGGCGAGCGUGGGGGCCAUUCAAUGGUAUCAAUUCCUUCAUCCUCCAGGAACUGCCGGCAUACUCUCGCCACAUGAGGCCAGGCAUUAUCGUGCACCAGGAGGAACCCAGGACCCACUGCACCAGCGUAGGGUCUGACAAUGGGUUCAAGGAUAUCAUCCCGAUACCUAAAGGCGGUCAGAGUGCCAUUGUCUAGCCUGUAGAAGUCUGUGUGUCCCUCCAUGGAUAUGUCUCCCCAGACCCACCACCAAACCGGUCAUGCUGAAUGAUGUUACAGGCAGCAUAAUGUUCUCUAUGGCUUUUCCAGAAAGGGUGAACCUGCUCUCAUCUGUGAAAAGCACAGGGUGCCAGUAGCAGACCUGUCAAUUCUGGUGUUCAAUGGCAAAUGCCAAUCAAGCUCGACGGUGCUGGGCAGUGAGCACUAGAGGACCUUUGGCCCUCAGGCCAACCUUCAGGAAGUCUGUUUCUGAUUGUUUGGUCAAAGACAUUCACACAAGUGGCCUGCUGGAUAUCAGAAAAAAAGAGCAGCUUUUCAGUGGCCUGCUGAAAAGUUAAGGACCUUCUACGGCCCUGUCCAGCUCUCCUAGAGUAACUGCCUGCCUCCUGGAAUCUCCUUCAUGCUCACGAGACUGUGCUGGGAGACACAGCAAACCUUCUGGCAAUGGCACAUAUUGAUGUGCCGUCUUGGAGGAGUUGGACUGAAUGUUAGGGGAAAUGCUCUAUUAUAUUUUAACGUGCUAGUUGUUUCCCACCCGGCUGUUAACUGACAAUCUGCUGAGUGCUAAUGAGACUCGUUGAGAAUGCUCCAAUCACAUGAGGCCAAAUAUAUAAAAACAACAUUGAUUCGCUAACAAAACUGGGAGGGUUCAAGGACAAUUUGAAAUAAGCCAUUCGGAGCUCAGUCUCAAGUUCAAAAUUUUACGGACCAACACACUCGAUUGUCCGGCGUCCCACACACACACAUGAACGGAACAUAGUUUUGAUUUUUUUUAUUUUAAAUAAAUUAUUAAAAUAAAAAGAAUUUGAAGUAUUUCACUUCUGCAACAUUUCAUGUAUGCAUUUAAACUCCUGAGCGGUUAUAGACUUGGAGGAAACAAUGUGCUGCCCUCUGUGAUGACCAGGAACAUGGUGAGAUUUUAAACUCUUUAUCCAAGAAAACCAUUUUUUUUUGUAUUUUAAAGAUUGUAAUUUUUGUUUGUUUUUUUUGGCAUUUUUGUUUUUUGGACAGUGGCAGUAAAAACACAGUGGAGAGAGAUGGGAUGAUUUGCAGCAAAGGGCCUGAGCUGGAACUGAAGCUUGACUGCCUGAAGAACAGUAUAUGGUACAAGUUCUACCAGUUGUUCUUGAAAUGGACCUCAUCAAUCUCUUUCCUGUUCUACAAAUCCCCCCUUUUGAUCAGAUGCUGGUCUUGUCCAGGAUAAAUAUUGAGGGGAUCUUCUCAGCCCACAGUGGACAACAUGCAAGUCCUCAAGCUGAACUAGUGACAGUACAUGCUGUAGCUUCCAGUUUCUCAAACAUCUUGUCCAAUUCUAUCCCAUGUCUUCACACAAAUCUGGACUCAGUGACUUAUUCCUCUUGUUCAACCAGGGCAAGUAAGCCCUGAUACAUAAUGUUUGUUUAUUUCACCAUGGAUUAUCCAAUCAUAUGGACAUGUGCUGUUUUUUCAAGAUUUCAUUACUAAUUUGUGAGUAUUGGGCAAGGUAUUUGAUUAAUUCAAACUGUUAACACUGAACAUGUUUUCUUGCUUUAGUCUGACAAU
Molecule: long non-coding RNA, 5181 nt
Organism: Hemibagrus wyckioides
Lineage: Eukaryota; Metazoa; Chordata; Actinopteri; Siluriformes; Bagridae
Exons: 4
Source: RefSeq, a predicted model, not a curated record